This 2597-nucleotide long non-coding RNA is filed under the name Vitis vinifera (wine grape). RNAcentral describes it as "long non-coding RNA (VVIN_LNC008195)". Lineage: Eukaryota; Viridiplantae; Streptophyta; Magnoliopsida; Vitales; Vitaceae. The record is from RNAcentral.
UUGGGUCCUAGCUGAAAGUUAUGGUGUAUUAUAGUUAGUAGCAAAAGGGGUGGCAGAUGUGUUAGCAAUCACAAAAUAGAGAGCCUUCAAUUUAUUGCUUUUGUAGGGGGUUCCUCCCUUCCCCUCCUGAAGUUUUGAGUUCAUAGUUUUAAUUUAACCACUUUUAGUUAGGCAUUUCCCUUCAAUCACUGGAGCAGGUAGCUUUUCUUACUUUUGAUCAGAGGCAUGCAAUGGGGUGGUGGGGGCGGCGCAGGAGAAGGGGACAGCAGGGGCAAUUUCUCACACUUCUUUGUAUUUAUUUAUUUUAUGGUAAUACAAGGUUUAUUUCUGAUUAAAAAAAUAGUUGUUAGUAGCAGACUAAUCGAGACUUACAAGAAUGGUUAAAACUUUAGUAAGGUAGUUGUAGAAUAGUUGAAGUUAUAUAUAUGGUUAAAAAUCUCUCUUACCCAUCAAAUAUAUAUAUAUAUAUAUGGUUAAAAAUGUUAAGAAUGUUUUCAUCUUGAUUGGUAAUUUUGGGUUAAAAGUAGAUUUCACUUGAUAUAGUUUCCUAUGUUGGUUUUCAAUGUUUGCUUCAGUAUGAAAUUAGUUCAUCAUGCAUGUAAUUGUCUCUUAAAGCUGUAUAUCAAUAAAAAAAAAAAGAAAAAAAAAAAGUGGAAUUGCCUCUUAGAAUUUUUAAGUGUUCAUGAAAUUGCUUAUUCAUUCAUAUUUUUUACAAUGCAUACCAGUUCUUCCUCAAUUUAUUUCAUGGGAGUGUAGUACCUUAUGGUAAUGAUAUGGUACCCUACAUAGGUCCAAAAAAGGAAAAAAGAAAAAAUCAAUAAUAAUAGAAACUGUCUGGCUAUAUGAAACGAGUUGGCCAUUGUAGUUGCAUUGUAUGCAUGGAAUUUAAAUAUUAAAUAGAUAUUUUUUUGUCUGUUGUGUCGUAAUUAUCUUGCAAGGUGCUUCUGCUGCUAGAAGGCAUAGAUUGUUCUAUAACAAGAUCCUGGGUAAUCCUUCCAAUGGGUCCUAUCCUAAGGUGUUUAUUUUUCCAAUUAUGGUUUGCAGCAAGAAGUUUUUGGGUUAUUGUGUGUUUUUUGUUUUGUUUGUUUGUUACCCUUCUAAAGGUGUGGUUGCAUUUUACUACUACAAUGGGCUGGUCAGACAAUUUUAAUACUGUGGUGUCUGUAGGGUACUUUGCCAUGAGUUUAAUUGCCUUAUUAUCAUCACAAUGUGCUUCAAUUUAGUUUCUUAUCCAGUAUUAGUAUUUAAUUUCAGUUUUCUUUCACUUCUUGGAUUAUUAUGAUCUCACAAAUUUGAGUCAUAUUUUGCCACAUGACAGGCCCACUACAUGUUAGGACUUGCAUUAUUACAGAGGGAAGAAUAUGCUGAAGGAGUGAAGGAACUUGAAAAGGUAUGAGAUGAUCCAUGCCCUGAAUUGUACUUGAAUAUUCUUUUUUAUCAGUGUUAUUUAGUUCUUGAAUUUUUUUUCUUGGCAGUUUUGGACAACUCACAUGAUGAAAUUCAUUUUUUAUUUAAGUACUGGGAGUAAUUUGUUGGUGAAAUCAAUAAAAUUUUGGACCUAUUCAUUUGUUUAACAAUGGAAUCAUCUGAAAAUAGCAUAUCCUUGUCAUUUUAGGAAGAUAAUAUAUUAUUUAUGGUAGUGAUAUUACCUGUAAAAAUUUUAAGAUCUUGUGAUGGGGGAAAGCCUUUUAAAGUUUAUUCAAGGAAGAAAGUGAAGACCUAAGUAAACUUUAAGUAGGAUUAAUAUUAAUUAGGAUUGAUAUUUCUUGGAGUCUAAUUAGGAUUAGCUAGUUGAGUUAUAAUAUAAUUAGAAUUUGAGUCAUGAUAGGUUAUUAGAGUCCUAGUAUACUUUGGAUUUCUUAGAGAAGCCUAUAAAUAGGCUAAUCAAUGUAAAUCAAAGGAAUGAAUUUGAUGAAUAAUAUUAUACUUUCUAUCAUUGCAAGGUUGCAAUCCUCAAUGGUGAGACUCCAUUGAUUUUCUUCUAAGUGAGACUCCUAGAAGGCCUUAGUGAGACUCUAAGGUUUUCCAUCUUUUCUUUAUUGUUUCUUCUUUCUCUCUAUUUCUUAUCUUAUAAUUUUCUCUACCAUAAAAUUUAUUCCUUACUCCUCUCCUUACACCCUAGAAAUAAAACCCUACCCCACCUACCCUUGAGUGUAGGCAACCAUCCUAGGGUUGUCCUACAUCAUCUUGACCAUAGUAAAAUUGGAAAACUAGGGACAGGGACAUGGGGACGUAAAAAAGGAGAUCCUAUCAACUUGUUCCGACCUAGGAUAAUAAGCUCAUGGCUUGGUCUUACUUCACCGUGAAGCAAUGGAAGAAGACUUCCAUCUCCUAGUUGCUUUGUGUUUCAAUAUUCAUUAAUAAUUGUUUAGUUCUAUUAUGGCAAUAAACUUUUUUGCCCCCUUUUUGCGUAGGCAGUAUGGAGAGAAACUUCUGAAUCUAUGGUUUAAGGGUUGAGUAAUACUAAAACUAUCUAUGGUCAAGAGUCACUUAAAAGUGAUUUGAGUAAUACUAAAACUGUGGAAUAUAUCUUAAACUAGUCUAUGGUCAAGUGAUUGCUUUUGAUUAUUUGGGAUCAAUCAUGCACAUUGCUAAGC